Molecule: ribosomal RNA, 301 nt
Filed under: uncultured bacterium
Lineage: Bacteria
Description: partial 16S ribosomal RNA
Rfam family: Bacterial small subunit ribosomal RNA
Source: RNAcentral
CAGUAGCCGCGGUAAUACAGAGGGUGCAAGCGUUAAUCGGAAUUACUGGGCGUAAAGCGCGCGUAGGUGGUUUGUUAAGUUGGAUGUGAAAUCCCCGGGCUCAACCUGGGAACUGCAUUCAAAACUGACUGACUAGAGUAUGGUAGAGGGUGGUGGAAUUUCCUGUGUAGCGGUGAAAUGCGUGGAGAUCAAGAGGAACACUCGUGGCGAAAGCGAGCUACUGGACAAUAACUGACGCUGAGGCUCGAAGGCCAGGGUAGCGAAAGGGAUUAGAUACCCCCGUAGUCCCUGUCUCUUAUAC